Molecule: long non-coding RNA, 949 nt
Organism: Pomacea canaliculata
Lineage: Eukaryota; Metazoa; Mollusca; Gastropoda; Architaenioglossa; Ampullariidae
Exons: 2
Source: RefSeq, a predicted model, not a curated record
UCGUUUUAUGAAUGCGUUUGUAAGCGUAUGCUUAAUGUAUAUAUACAACAUGUUGAUUGAUAACUGAAGACACUAAAUUUGCCCUUGAUGCUUUUUGUGUACUGAUCUACAUUAAUUAAUCAGUGAUCUCACUUUGUUGGUCGAAUGCGAAUCCACAGAAUACAAUACAUGACACACAUUCGGUCACAGCUUGUUGCCCCAGUAGUGGUCAGUACUGGUCACAAACUACGUGGUAUACCCUGGGUGUGGAGGUAGCAUAACAAGUGGUCAAUGUGGAGAAAUUUAGGAGUUUGGGGGUUUGAGGCUCUGUGGCUGAAAUUCCACCCACCCACCACUGCCCGCCCCAGCCCCUGUACUGCAAUGAUGGGAAACAGUCCUGGCUGUGUUCUACAAUUCCUCAAAAAAUGGUGAACUGUCAUUCUUCCUCCUUGUUUACUUCCUCUAUGCUGGUAAGAUCUUUACCUUUUUUUUAACAUGUAGAAUAUGCCAAUUUUUUAUGUUAGUGAUCCUAUUGUUCAGUUUUCAGCAUGUCUUAAAGCAUGUUCAGAGUUACCACCAAAGACUAGUUUUUUUGGAUGUAGCAGGUGAAUGCAUUUGUGUAUGAUUAUGCACAUAUAUGUGCAUGUAGUUAAGUACAGUACAUGUAUGCAUGUCUGUUUGAACAUACAUCAUUUAAAGAUGUUUUUUUUCUGACUGAAAUUAUCAAGAAAUAUGAGCAGAUCACGAGCACUUGUCAUAAACAUUGUUUUAUUUUUUAAAAAUUAUCAGUCAUUAAAAUCAAGAUCACAGCAUCACUUGUCCAUCUUCAAAACAUGGAAAUAGAAAGGGAAAGAAGAGUCACUUGGGGUGAGAAAGGGUUAAAAACUCAACAGUCCUUUCUCUGUAAUAUUUUCUUGUUUUAUGUAUCAUGACCAAAUAUUAAUUGACAAAAACUUACUAGUAGCAUAAA